Molecule: long non-coding RNA, 344 nt
Filed under: Hordeum vulgare
Lineage: Eukaryota; Viridiplantae; Streptophyta; Magnoliopsida; Poales; Poaceae
Description: long non-coding RNA (HVUL_LNC003170)
Source: RNAcentral
ACAAAUCAGCGUUGGUUUUCAGAAGUUGUGUCCAAUUCGAACUCUACAAGGAAAGCCGCAGCAGCUUGUGGGAUUCAUACCAAGGGCUACCAACAAAAGAUUUUUGCUCAAGCCAGUACGCUGCAUGUGUGGUUACCACAUGAAGGCCGAAGCAGGUCAAGGCAAGCACGGAUUUUCUCAAGAGUUACACGUGAAAGACCAAAAUACUACUCUCUACUAUUUAUUGACCACGGACUCGAAGCUCGCCUGCAACAGCCACAACACCGACCUCUGCUACCUCGCGUCCGAGCCGGCCUCGACACAGGUCGAGCUGCUACGCCGCCUCCACUUCACUUGCUCAGGGC